CCAGGUAAGGAGCCUGCGCUGGCUGCCCGGCAGGCGGAGAAGGAAGGAGGAAGAGCGGAGGCCAGGGCGGGCUCUAGGCCGUGGAAUCUGGGGCCUUAAAGCCCCUUCGUCUCCCCAGCACCCACUCUCUGGGGGCAGGUGGGCCCGGUGACAGUAACCUUCAGGGAGCCCUGAAGACCAUGGAGGACUACUGACCAACAACCUCUGACCUUCACCCCUCUGGAUGGGGGACGAAUCACUAGGCAAAGGGGAACAAUGGGAAGGAGACAAAAUGGCUGCCUUUACAGCUGCAGCAAGAUGUGGAAACACUGGUUCCCUAGGCACCUCCAUUGUCUUCCCGCCUUGGGAGCAUGAAAUAAAUAAAGUGUGAAGGGGAACAUGAGGAAGACUGAUCCAAGUCACUUGACCUGUCUUUUGUCUAGUUGUUUAUCUCAUCUUAGCCUCCCAGCAACUCAGGAUUGGGGCUGCGACGUCUGCUUUGUCUUUCAUGAUACUCAACCCCAAGCAGAGAAAAAUAUCUUAAAAAUCGAAGCAGAUUAACCCAGUCCCUCUGUUCAGAUCCACCUGCUGCCCUAUCUGCAUUUGGCAGUUCCUGGACAUACUUUGCACCUAUGUUUUGUCUGAGUUCCACAUCUUCCUUGUCUCCCCGCAGGGAUGGGAAAUGGGCAGUAGUGGGAGAUUCAGGUAUAAACGGUGGCUCUGUUUCUCUGGUGCCUGAGAUUCGGGAAGGCCUGUCUUGGGAAGAUAAGUGUCAGCUUAUCUGUGGACUGAACAGACAGGCACCUGUUCUGUUGGCCCCGGAACUGCGGGCAUGAAAAGCCCACCUCCCCAGGGGAGGCCUGUUAGCUAGCAGCUCCUCACGCCUGGUGACUGAGAAAUGGAGUCUGGGGGGCCUACAGCAGGCCACGCGAUCCACUGGGCUUCUGGGCACAGAAGUGCCUCAACAGGCACAGGCAGGCUCCCCACAGCCACAAGGAACCCUGCUGCCAAGGAAGCAGCUCCUGUUGGGGUCAUCAGAUUUUUAAUCUGGCUCAGCAAAGCCAUGGCUGUCCAGCCUUAAAAAAAUGGGUGAUGUGGGAGAAAUGGAGGGUGUGUGAAGAGCACAGCUGGGCCUCGAGAACUCAGGGCCAGCCUUCCCAGCUUGGGUCCUGUUUCGGAGCCCAGGCCUUGCUUCCCCUUAGCCGCCCCAGCCAGAUUCUUUUGCGCCCCCUGCUGGCACACACAAAGACAGACCCAGGAGCGCACAUGUGAACGUGCGCAUGCUUGCUGCCAGUUACCCAGUUCAUGAACACGUGAAGCCUUGAC
Molecule: long non-coding RNA, 1305 nt
Filed under: Homo sapiens (human)
Lineage: Eukaryota; Metazoa; Chordata; Mammalia; Primates; Hominidae
Description: non-protein coding MIR200CHG:9
Source: RNAcentral